RNAcentral lists this ribosomal RNA (367 nucleotides) under uncultured bacterium. Its description in RNAcentral is "bacterial SSU rRNA". It matches the Rfam family "Bacterial small subunit ribosomal RNA", at positions 527 to 896 of the family's 1533-position model. The record is from RNAcentral.
GGAGGAUCCAAGCGUUAUCCGGAUUUAUUGGGUUUAAAGGGUGCGUAGGCGGCUUAUUAAGUCAGGGGUGAAAGACGGUGGCUCAACCAUCGCAGUGCCCUUGAUACUGAUGAGCUUGAAUACACUAGAGGUAGGCGGAAUGUGACAAGUAGCGGUGAAAUGCAUAGAUAUGUCACAGAACACCGAUUGCGAAGGCAGCUUACUAUGGUGUUAUUGACGCUGAGGCACGAAAGCGUGGGGAUCAAACAGGAUUAGAUACCCUGGUAGUCCACGCCCUAAACGAUGAAUACUCGCUGUUAGCGAUACACAGUUAGCGGCUAAGCGAAAGCGUUAAGUAUUCCACCUGGGGAGUACGCCCGCAAGGGUG